This 6202-nucleotide long non-coding RNA is filed under the name Homo sapiens (human). RNAcentral's name for it is "non-protein coding lnc-WASHC5-13:3". Lineage: Eukaryota; Metazoa; Chordata; Mammalia; Primates; Hominidae. The record is from RNAcentral.
ACGGUUCUCUGCACCCGCCGCUCGCUGCAGCCCCGCGGCGACGCCUUUCGCCCCGGGGAUCCCCCCACCGCCCAGCGCCUGGGGAGCUCCGGUUGGAGCCGUGGGCGCCGCCGAGGCCCGGCUGCAGCCGGAGGAAGGAGGGGGAUAGGGAGGUGAUGAAUUCCAGAAUCAGUCAUUCACCCCCACGCGGUAGUUCCGGGGAAGACCUGUGCGUGGUAGUGGAUGUGGCUUUUUUUUUUCCCUUUUCCUGCCCCCUCCCAGCUCUAAUCCCCAGCGUCUGUUCGCUUCCACAAAUAGAACCUUCUGUUGGAGGAAAUAAAAGCAAACACUGGGCCUUCUGCGCUGCCUCCACCUCCACGCCCCCCCAACCCCCCCGCGCCUGCCGCCCGCCCGGAUUGCACGGAAAUAGCUUCUCCAGGCUCCCGGGCCGCCCCUUCGCGGUGACUCGCAGAAAGAGCUUCCUGAGCCAGGGCCGGUGGGAAACAAAGGAUGUGGGGAGCGGGCGGAAGGGGCCCACGUGGCUGCCGCCGGAUUCCUACUCCCUCCCCAGCCUCCACACGCGCCGCAGGGUCUAGGGCCUGAGUGCCAACCUGGGUAGGUGGGUAGGCUGGUGGAAGUCAUUCUGGCCACUGCCAGAGAUACCGCCUGCACCCGGGCAGCCCUGCCUGGUGGUGCGCAUGCAUUCAUUCCGUGUGAUUUGGAAGAGCAUCAAAGUUGCGCGUGAAACAACUUGGAAUCUGUCAUUUUUCUUUCUUGAGUGAACCAGGUCAGUUUGGAGUCCCUGGGCACCCAACAAUAUAACUAUUAUUAGAGAGCCCUUACUUGUCCUUCUGCUAAAUACUUAAUUUUCUAAAACCAGGUCGAGCCCCAGGAAUAAAUCAUUUUCCUUAUUAAUUCUCCAUUCAUUCAACAAAUACUAAUUAAGCAUCUACCAAGAGCUAAACGCUGGGAAUUAGAAGGUGAAAAUUAAAAUAAUAAUAAUAGCUAACAUGAAUCGAGGCCUACAAUGUGUCGGACACUGUUCUUAGCACUUUAUAUGUAUUACUUCAGUUUUCCAACCACACUAUGGGGUUAUUUUUUGCCCCAUUUCACAGGGAAGAAACUGAAGCCUUAGAAGGAUGAAGUUAGGCCAAGCGUGGUGGCUCACGCCUGUAAUCCCAGCACUUUGGGAGGCUGAGGUGGGCAGAUCACCUGAGGUCAGGAGUUCAAGACCAAUCUGGCCAACAUGGUGAAACCCCGUCUCUACUACAAGUACAAAAAUUAGCUGGGUGUGGUGGCGCGCGCCUGUAAUCCCAGCUGCUGGGGAGGCUGAGGUGGGAGAAUCACUUGAACCUGGGAGACAGAGGUUGCAGUGAGCCGAGAUCGUGCCACUGCACUCCAGCCUUGGGGAGAAAGCAAGACUUAGUCUCAAAAAAUAAAAAAUAAUAAUAAUAAUAAUUUAAAAAAAGAACGAAAGAUGAAGUUACUUGCUGCGGUUAAGUAGCUCAUAAGGGGUGGUGCGGUCAAGCUCCUAAGCAUUUAUGGCGACUGGAAGGAGAGAUUACAAUUUGUAGGGGAAAACAGGAGUUAGGGAGGACUCUAGAAGGCAUUUGACCUGGGAGAUGUGCAGGGACUGUGAGGGAGUUGCUCAAGGGAGAGUAUGAAUGGUGGGAGGCCGGGCCAGACAAGGGGUGUGCGGAAGGGCAGGGCUAGCAGGCCAGAGAAACUACAAGGGUGGUGGGAGCUGAGCCUGCAGAGGUCUCCUGAGACAGUGUUGGGAAGGGCUUGAAAGCCAUGUUGCACUUGGUCCUGUGCCCAGAGGAGAGCCCACCGAAGAGUUAGUUAGUUAGUUUGUUUGUUUGUUUGUUUGUUUGUUUGUUUUGAGACAGAGUCUCCCUCCAUCGCCUAAGCUAGAGUGCAGUGACCCAAUCUCGGCCCACUGCAACCUCUGCCUCCCGGGUUCAAGUGAUUCUCCUGCCUCAGCCUCCCAGUAGCUGGGAUUACAGGCGCCCGCCACCAUGCCUGGGUAAUUUUUUAUUUGUAGUAGAGACGAGGUUUCACCAUGUUGGCCAGGCCGGUCUUGAACUCCUGACUUUAAGUGAUCCACCCACCUCAGCCUCCCAAAGUGCUGGGAUUACAGGCUUGAGCCACCACGCCCGGCCCCACCUACAUUUUUUUUGUCUUUGAAGAUUAUUCUGUGCCAGAAUGUAAGAUCCACUGAGCUGCCAGCACUUGAAUGGCAAACUCAGCAUGGCCCCUGAGCAUCUUCCUCCCAGGUGUGUGCCUCCUUCUCUGCCUCUUCUGAGAGACAGGCAUGCCACCAUCCACCCAGCUCCGCCCACCCAGGGGCCAGGAUCACAGGCACUCAUCGUGGGUUCCCCUUUGAAUCUGCCUUUUUCCUUUCUCCCACAGCCCACCCUAGACCUGUGAGCUCUCAGUGCCGGGCCCUACCCCGCACUGUUCAGCUCCCUGGGGCUGGCCCUCACCAGCUCUACUUCCCAGGCUCACUUGCCCAUUGGCUUCCAGCCCAGUUUGCCCAGUGGGAGGCCCGGGAGGGAGAUUAGAAGGCAGGAGGAAGAAGAGAAUGCCCAGGCUACUAUUUGCUUCAGGCAGCUGGCCACACCUCCUCUGGGGCUCCAGAGGAGACAGCCACUCCGCAUGGCUGCUGCGAUGUGCUCCCCAGAUCCCGCUGCCCAACUGGAGGAUCUGUUUCCCUGGCUGCUGGGAGUGCAUAUCAGGAGCUGUUUUGGAAAUUGCCUUGACUGAGAAGAGCCACUUUGCCGGAGGUCACACUCCCUUCCCAAGGGUCCACAUCCAGUGACUGCUGAUCAUGGAAGAAUAAAGGUCCCCUUGUCCCAACUUGGGCCACCUGUCCAAGGCAUCCCAGCUUCAGAGCUCCCAGAUUUAGGCCUUCCUAAAAUUGCAUCACAGCCCAGCUUUUUCCUCUGCCCAAUCCUGUUCCUUCCUCCCCCUCUUCCCACAGAAUCCUCUUGCAGGCUGGCCUGCAUCUCAGAGUCAGCUUCCUGGGGAGUUCAACCUGUGGCACCCCUUCUUCAUGGUCCGAGCUCACUCCAGGGACUCUGGCUUCUGGGAGCAGGUGAAACCACCUUUGUCCCUCCAGCCGUAGGGUGGCAGCAGCUUCCAGAUGUUGCUAAUCUCUGGGUGGCCCCCAGCACCAUGUUUUGUUCUGUUUUGUUUCUGCCCUUUCUAUGCCUUUGUAACUAGUUUUCUACAUAAAUUCUAUCCACUGAACUUCCUGGCCUGAGUUCCAUUUUCCUGCCCAGACCCUGUCUAAUAGAAACCUUCUCCCUUUCCCACGUUCGGCCCUCUCCCCACUCCCAUAAUCCUAGUUCACAACCUUCCCCUGGAUUCCUGCAGUAAGUUCUCAAUGGAGCCACUCAUUCAUCCCUUCAACAAACAUUGAGCCCCUACUUGGUGUCAGCACCCACUAAGUGCUGGAGACACAGUGAUGCACAAAACACAGUAUGUCGUGUAUCCCCUUGAUCCAUCCCCCACACAGCUGUGGAGUCACUUUCCUAAAAUCCAAAUGUGAUCACGCAAGGCACUGACCUAAAACCUUGCAGGGACCCCACCCCCAGAUAAAAUCCAAACACCACAGUAUGGAAAAGUAGGCCCUCUUCCAAGCCCCAUUUCCCUUCCGAGCCUCACCUUCCAGGCCCACUUCCCUUCCAAGCCUCACCUUUCUUGCCUCCUCCCCUCUGUCCUACCCAUGCCAGCUCCUGGCAGGGCCCCAAACUGAUCUAUCUGCCAAUUCACAUCUCUGCACUUCAGCCUGCGCUGUUCCCUCCCACUGGAAUUCCCUCUCUUCCUUUUCCAAGGAAAGGAACUCUUACUCAUCCUUCAAAACACCAUCCGGAUUUCCCCAGCGCCUGCACUCAGAUCUCAGUGUCCUACCAAAUGCUGUCGAGUCCUCUGUCCAACUAUCUCUCGUGACCCUUUCCACGCAACUGUGUUCCCAGAGGGCAGGGGUUGUGUCUUGUUCAUUCGUGUUCAUCCAGCCCCCAGCCCAGUGUCCGUUAUAAAAGAGGGACUUAGGCCAAGCACAGUGGCUCACGCCUAUAAUCCCAGCACUCUGGAAAGGCCGGGCAGGUGGAUCACUUGAGGUCGGGAGUUUGAGACCAGCCUGGCCAACAUGGUGAAAUCCCGUCUUCACUAAAAAUACAAAAAUUAGCCAAGCGUGGUGGCAGGCACCUGUAGUCCCAGCUACUCUGGAGGCUGGAGCACGAGAAUCGCUUGAACCCGGGGAGCACAGGUUGUGGUGAGCUGAGAUUGUGCCACUGCACUCCAGCCUGGGCAACAGAGCAAGACUCCAUCUCAAAAAAAAAAAAAAAAAGAGGGGGCUUAGUAAGUGUCAACCAAAUAAAUGCACUCCAGGGCAGAGGGUCACCCACAAGGAGAGCCUGAGAUGACAGAUGGAGAGGAAACACUGGACUUCAGACAGAGACAGGGGCUGGAGAGCAGGGCACAGAUUUCGGAGUUAGACGUCUGGCCCUGGAGAGGUAAUGGGAGGUGGAGUGUCGGGGAAAGCAGGGGCUUGUGGGGCUCCCAGCCUGCAUGCCGGGGAAGAUGAACAUGGACCUUUGGCAAGGCCUGAGAUAAGGCAGGCCGAGGCACAAGGCAGCUAAAAUUGUCUUGAUUUCUUUGCGGAGGGCUUCCCUACUGGUAAAAUCUGGACUGAAAUUCCCUCAGACUUUUCAGAUACUCACUUGAGGAAGCCAGUGGCUCUUAAUGAGCCUCGGUUGUCUCACCUGUGAAAUGGGCGUAAUAAAGGCCUGGUUUUCCUCUCCUACACAGUUUAGUUUUGUUUAGUUUUGUUGUGGAGAUGGGGUUUCAUCAUGUUGCCCAGGUUGGUCUCGAACUCCUGGGCUCAAGCAGUCCUCCAGCCUCAGCCUCCUAAAGUGCUGGGAUUACAGGUGCGAGCCACUGAGCCUGGCCUCCUCCCCUACACAGUUCUUAAUGGAAAUGAGGAAGUAUAAAUAUGUGGAAAGUACUUUUGGAUCAUCCAGCCAGACCCAAAUGUGGGAGAUUAUCAGGUAUGGGUGUGCCUUGAUUUUGAACAGUAUUCAUUUAGUCAACAAAUAUUCAUUAAGGACUUGCUAUAUGUGAGAAUUGAAAAAAAAAACAAAAAGACCGUACUAUGAAACUCCAAAUCGACAAAUACAAAUAUCUAAAUAAAUAGGAUGGUAAUUAGGAAGUCAUUCUUCCCAUAUUAAAGGGUCUCUACCAAGCGAUGCCAUCCACAAGCUCCUCUGGUGCAUUUAUGAUGAGGCCUGAAAGCCAGAAUCACCACUGAUCGUGCAUGCGUGUGUGUCCUGCGUAGCCUCGGCAUGAUGCUCAGCUUGAUGCUGGAUGCUCAGUACAUGGUCAGCUGUGAGAAAAUUGAUUUAACUCUGACUUUUCAGGAGCUCACAUAUUACAUAACAUGGGGAAACCUGUAUCGAUUUUUUUGGACAAGGUUAGGCUGCUGAUGACCUCUGGCUUGAUUCAUUUUCAUUCAUGCCAAGGUAGAUGCAUGGCAGCAACGUUAGGAAGGCUCUGAGUGUUCUACCCAUUCUAAAAUGGAAAUCCUUAGAGGCCAGGGCCCCCAGUUUCCAUCUCCCUGUCUCACGGCACAUGAGGCUUUGUAGCCACACACAGAGGGUAUGCGUCCAGUGCAUUAUGCUCCCUGACCUUACAUUCUAAAAAAUAAAAUGAAUUAAAAAGUUUGGGGGCUGGGCGCAGUGGCCCACUCCUAUAAUCCCAGCACUUUGGGAGGCUGAGGCAGGCAGAUCACUUGAGGACAGGAGUUCGAGACCAGCCUGGACAACAUGGCGAAAGCCCAUCUCUACUAAAAAUACAAAAACAUUAGCCGGGCGUGGUGGUGCAUGCCUGUUGUUCCAGCUACUCAGGAGGCUGGGGCAUGAGAAUCAUUUGAACCUGGGAGGCAGAGAUUACAGUGAUCCAAGAUUGCACCACUACACUCCAGCCUGGGUGACAGAGCAAGACUCUGUUUUAAAAAAAAAAAAAAAGGAACAUAUUUAGGGAAGACAAUAUAUCAAAAGUUAGGAAAGACAAAAACAUGUAUUGUGUUCCUGCCAAUUCUAGACACUUUCCUGUUGUUUAAUUUAAUGUUUAAACAAUCAUGGAAAAUAGUUAUUGAGCUGGAUGCAGUGGCACGCACGUGUAGUCCCAGCUACUCGGGAGGCUGAGGCAAGAGGAUCAC